AACGAACGCUGGCGGCAUGCCUAAUACAUGCAAGUCGAACGAGAUCUUCGGAUCUAGUGGCGCACGGGUGCGUAACGCGUGGGAAUCUGCCCUUGGGUUCGGAAUAACUUCUGGAAACGGAAGCUAAUACCGGAUGAUGACGUAAGUCCAAAGAUUUAUCGCCCAAGGAUGAGCCCGCGUAGGAUUAGCUAGUUGGUGGGGUAAAGGCCCACCAAGGCGACGAUCCUUAGCUGGUCUGAGAGGAUGAUCAGCCACACUGGGACUGAGACACGGCCCAGACUCCUACGGGAGGCAGCAGUAGGGAAUAUUGGACAAUGGGCGAAAGCCUGAUCCAGCGAUGCCGCGUGAGUGAUGAAGGCCUUAGGGUUGUAAAGCUCUUUUACCCGGGAUGAUAAUGACAGUACCGGGAGAAUAAGCUCCGGCUAACUCCGUG
RNAcentral lists this ribosomal RNA (433 nucleotides) under uncultured bacterium. RNAcentral's name for it is "partial 16S ribosomal RNA". It matches the Rfam family "Bacterial small subunit ribosomal RNA", at positions 29 to 507 of the family's 1533-position model. The record is from RNAcentral.